ACAAGAAGAUCAAACAACUAAAGGCGAGCAUGAGGCUGAUUAUCAAUACAUUAUUCAAAAAGCAAAAUUCACUGCCAACUAUUUAAACAAACAGAGGAAACACCACAGGCUCCUGCCACCGGAAAACCUGGAUUCAAGAACACCAAAAUGCAAAAGAUUGACACACAGUCAACAAAUCGGGAGGUCUGCAGCACGAGUGUCGAUCACGGGGGCUGAGAGAGAGAAUCAGCGCAUCUGUGUCUUCUUAUAUCCGCUCCCACUCAUCACACCAAGCAGGUUCACCUGAGACACCUGGGGAGGAACCUACCAGAGAGAGACACACAGCAGAAGACACAGGACACAGGACACACCCACACCCACAGCCCUAACAUAAAAUAUGACAUUUUCAACAUCCUAUAUUAUGGCAUUUUGAUCGGACAAUACUAUGGCAUGUUUUUUCAUCCUAAAAUCAGGAAUUCUUUUUCACCAUAAGAUCUGAAAUUUUGAUCCUAGGACAUUAUGACAUUUUUUCGGACUCAAAUAAUCUUUUUUUCCUACUAAAAUAUGACAUUUUUAACAUCCUAAACUAUGGCAUUUUGUUCAGAGAAUACUAUGGCAUGUUUUUUAAUCCAAAAAUAAAAAAAAAAUUUCACCUAAAAUCUGAAAUUUUGGUCAUAGUGUACUAUGACGAUUUUUUUCAGACUCAAACAUUAUUUUUUUUAUUCCUACUAAAAUAUGACAUUUUCAACAUCAUAAACUACGGCAUUUUGAGCAGAUUACACUAUAGCAUGUUUUUUCAUUCUAAAAUCUGAAAAAAAAUUUUCACCCUAAAAUCUGAAAUUUUGGUCAUAGUAUAUACGAUGACGAUUUUUUUUUACGGACUCAAAUAAGAUUUUUUUUCUUCUUGCUAAAAUAUGACAUUUUUAACAUCCUAAACUAUGGCAUUUUGUUUGGACAAUAGAAUGGCAGGCUUUUACAUCCUAAAAUCUGAAAAAAAAAUUUCACCUAAAAUCUGAAAUUUUUGGUCAUAGUAUACUAUGACGAUUUUUUUCAGACUCAAACAUUAUUUUUUUUAUUCCUACUAAAAUAUUACACUUUUAACAUUCUAAACUAUGGCAUUUUGGUCAGACAAUACUAUGGCAUGUUUUUUCAUCCUGAUAUCUGAAAAAAAAAUUUCACCCUAAAAUCUGAAAUUUUGGUCAUAGUAUACUAUGACGUUUUUUUUUCCGACUGAAAUAUAAUUUUUUUUAAUUUCUACUAAAAUAUGACAUUUUUAACAUUCUUUACAAUGGCAUUUUGUUCAGACACUACUUUGACAUGUUUUUUCAUUAGCAUCUGAAAAAAAAAAAUUCACCCUAAAAUCUGAAAUUUUGGUCACAGUAUACUAUGAUGAUUUUUUUUACGGACUCAAAUAAGAUUUUUUUUCUUCCUGCUAAAAUAUGACAUUUUUAACAUCCUAUACUAUGGCAUUUUGUUUGGACAAUAUCAUGGCAGGCUUUUACACCCUAAAAUCUGAAAAUAAAAUUUCACCCUAAAAUCUGAAAUUUUGGUCAUAGUAUACUAUGACGUUUUUUUUUCUGACCCAAAUAUAAUUUUUUUUUUUUGGAACUAAAA
Molecule: long non-coding RNA, 1593 nt
Filed under: Xyrichtys novacula (pearly razorfish)
Lineage: Eukaryota; Metazoa; Chordata; Actinopteri; Labriformes; Labridae
Source: RNAcentral